Molecule: transfer RNA, 72 nt
Filed under: Candidatus Desulfovibrio trichonymphae
Lineage: Bacteria; Pseudomonadati; Thermodesulfobacteriota; Desulfovibrionia; Desulfovibrionales; Desulfovibrionaceae
Rfam family: tRNA
About the family: Transfer RNA (tRNA) molecules are approximately 80 nucleotides in length. Their secondary structure includes four short double-helical elements and three loops (D, anti-codon, and T loops).
Source: Rfam by way of RNAcentral
GCGGGAGCAACUCAGUGGUAGAGUGCAACCUUGCCAAGGUUGAAGUCACGGGCUCAAAUCCCGUCUCCUACA